RNAcentral lists this long non-coding RNA (655 nucleotides) under Pan troglodytes (chimpanzee). RNAcentral's name for it is "lincRNA". Lineage: Eukaryota; Metazoa; Chordata; Mammalia; Primates; Hominidae. The record is from RNAcentral.
GCAGAUUCUUGGCAGACCUCUGUUGUUUUUCUAGAGUUGUAGGCAAGUAGUUGGACAAAAAGCAAGAAGCUGAUCGAUGUUGCUGGCUUUGGAUUCUUUGUGAACAAAUGAGACAAGGCUGCAAAUUCAGAGGAUCCUCCCAGAAGAUAAGAUGGAUCAGGUCACCACCUUCUUCCCUGCUUCACACCCUCAGGCCCCGACUCUCGUCUGCUGAGAUCACUCUCCAAACCAAUCUUCCCUUACAAAGCCCUUGUUGCAGGCUAUGCUUUCUGAGGGGAACCCAGGCCAAGACACUAAAAUGACACACCAACAUGAAGACAUGAACACAAUUGCAAAGGGAUUGGUUGGAUUGCAUAUCUCUGUGAAUGGGACUCAAGAGAAGUUUGGGAAAUGCUGGACCAGAUGACCCUUGCAAUCAUGGUGCACAGAAUUAAAACCGUCAAGGUCCCCAUCCAUCUCUGAGAUGGAUGAGAAUCUGAGUCUUCCACAAGAUGCCCAAGACUUGUUAAACCCGUGGAAUGUCUUUGGGUAUGUGUGACAUCAACAAGAAGCAGCAGACAAAACAAAAUAUUUUCACAAACAUUCAGAAAUCCUUAAAUCUUGUGAGUUGUCAUACCAUUUGUAGAUAUAAUUAUAAAAUGGCACAUGAUGCUGA